GCCAGCAUGGUAUAGUGGUUUGAACACUGGACUAAGAAUCUGGUGAUCAGGGUUUGAUUUCCUUCUUGGCC
This is a non-coding RNA of Phrynosoma platyrhinos (Desert horned lizard), 71 nucleotides long. NCBI's taxonomy places the organism in Eukaryota, Metazoa, Chordata, Lepidosauria, Squamata, Phrynosomatidae. The record is from the annotation of a GenBank genome assembly.